Molecule: small nuclear RNA, 19 nt
Filed under: Arabidopsis thaliana (thale cress)
Lineage: Eukaryota; Viridiplantae; Streptophyta; Magnoliopsida; Brassicales; Brassicaceae
Description: snRNA_06242
Source: RNAcentral
CUCGUUUAUCUACUCUGUU